RNAcentral lists this small RNA (122 nucleotides) under unclassified sequences. RNAcentral describes it as "LOOT RNA". It matches the Rfam family "LOOT RNA". From Rfam's summary of the family: Latescibacteria, OD1/Parcubacteria, OP11, TM7. Lineage (Microgenomates, aka OP11) The record is from Rfam by way of RNAcentral.
GACCUAAACCAUCCGUAAGGUUGGCAUGGUUGCCUAAUCCAUACAGAACAAACAGCUCGUCGUCAGAGCACUGUUCUGUAUGGUCAUAGUCCGAAAGGAUUAUGGGUGGCCUUCGGGUCAUC